Lepisosteus oculatus (spotted gar) is the source of this 4852-nucleotide non-coding RNA. The record is from RefSeq and is a predicted model, not a curated record. NCBI's taxonomy places the organism in Eukaryota, Metazoa, Chordata, Actinopteri, Semionotiformes, Lepisosteidae.
UGUUGUCUAUAACUCAUGACAGCCCUUAUUCCUAAAUGGAACCUAAAUUUACAAAUGGUGUUACAGGGUUCUACAGAUCUGUUAUAGACAUGAACAUUAAAUUGAAGCAAAACAACCAUUCGCUUAACAAAUACGGUAUAUGCAGAGACACACAAAACAUAUACGCGCCCACUCACCAGCUUUCUGUUUUACCUGUGGGCGUGAUUAACUUUCCCUGCUUGUUGCCCAGUGAAGAAGCUGCGUCAGAGGACUCUAGAAAGCAGUUUUUAUUUAGCGAGCCGUGCAAUGUAGCAAAGAGAGAAGGAUGCCGAAAACAAACUGAAAAGAACUUUUCUAAUCACUGAAUCCUUAAAGGAAUGGUCUAGCGAAUCCGAACCUAACUACUUGUUUAUUUAUUUUUUCAGCCUUAGUCUGAUACAGUAUCUACUACCAGUUCCUUUUCCACAUUAGAAGGGAUCUCACGUUGCUUAAGAUCUCCAUUUCGACUCUUUGUGUUUAAAGUCUGUCGCCAUCCUCAGGCACUUCUUUGUCGAUUUCCUACCGUCUAUGGUUGGAUUUUACAAGAACUCUCUGCUUGCUUUGCCCUUUUUUUUCAAAGGAGUAACUAUCCACUGUCAUUCGCAGAUCAUCCAUAGCCCCAGGUGUGAUGGGGUGUUGCACGAGGUUGCGGUAAAAACGGUUUCAUCCUAAAGCUGUACGAACACAGCUUUUUUUUUCAUGGCUGGAAAACAGGAGCACAGUUUUGCAUCUACUUUAGAAAUCUCUAAGGAAUCAGAUGCAUAGUUUUUUUUUUUACUUUUAUUGAUAUAUCCUCUGUGGAAUUAUUUCUUCUUUUAAAACAUCUAGGAUUCCAUUGUAUAAAUACCUAAAUAAUUCCUGCUCUCAUUCCAUCACGGACAUCCAAAUUCCCAGUGCUAAAGAGGAAUCUAUUGUAGAGCUAUGAGAAAUAUUUGCUUUUUUCUAUUAAAUAUGACAAUCCAAUAUUGAAAGGUUGCUGAUGGACGACACAUUUUCAAGAUGUCUUUUUUAGGGAUUACACGUGGAGGACGGCGAUCUGUCAGGGGGAGAGUUGGCUGGUGAAAUUGACUAUAUUUUUUCGUACAGGAAACUGGCUUCAAUGGCUCCAUCUCCCAGGCUAAGUAAUCGAAAGGAUGCCAACGCCUGGGCAAGCAUGUCCUCAACUUUCUGGGCAAUCAUGAUACUGACAAGCCUUCUGAUAGUCUACUGCAGUCAGCUGGCUGCUGGUACUUGUGAAAUUGUCACUUUGGACAGGGAUAGCAGUCAGCCUCGGAGGACUAUAGCCAGGCAAACAGCACGAUGUGCAUGUAAAAAAGGGCAAAUCGCAGGAACAACAAGAGCAAGACCUGCCUGUGUUGAUGCACGAAUUGUAAAGACAAAGCAAUGGUGUGAAAUGCUACCCUGUUUGGAAGGUGAAGGCUGUAAUUUGUUAGUAAAUAAAUCAGGCUGGACUUGUACGCAACCUGGAGGCCGAGUUAAAACAACAACAGCACUAUGACGUGAUGGAAUUCCCUUUCAAAACUUAAACAAACAUGGCGGAACGCUUUGCGAACCCGACUGACAGAGAAAAACAUCUACUUGUCAAGAGCAGACUUGAAAAAAACAACAAAACAGCAAACCAAUAUGGGCCUUAACAACAUUAAAAAGACUACAGUAUUAAAACUGUGAUUCAUCAGUCUGAGAAAUACCCAUAAAUACUAAUAAUCAAACAGUAUUUAGAAAAAAAGAUUUGGGAGAUACCAUAAGUUCACAGCAGGUCUCCUGACAAAUGUAGCAACAGAGAAUCCUCAGAGGAGCGGUUUAGACUCUGUGUGAGCUACUUACCUUAGUCAAGUUUCACUGCUGUGGAUCAUCUGUUGUAUCAUCAGCUCAACUGUCUCUCUACAUUGUAUAGGACAACAUAAUUCCUUAUACCAUGAGCUUAAGUCUGUUCAACACCACACUGGAGUACGGGAUUGAAGAAUGUAGAUAUCAGAGAUAUGACUGAGCAAUACUACAGUCCAUUGUGAAAUCUACACUGGAUUUAAUUCUGCUAUUGGAUUUUAUGUUGCCCAUAACCGAUGCAGAAGAAGCUGGUUUUCAAAGGAAUGAACCUGGGGUUCCCGCGGACUAAACAAAAGAGCAAGGGAGAGAUACUCUUAAGAACAGUAUCUGGACAGAACUUAUUUUGUCACUCUCACAGCAUUUUUGCCAACCAAAGAACAACAACAAUAAAACAACUGAAGUGGACAAGGUUAACAGGUGUGAAUAGCAAAGGUCCAUGGAAUGUUACAAAAUUAGCUUUCACACCACAAACUCAAGUCCCUAAUGUUUUGUGGAGCAACUGUUCUGAAUUGACCAGCUCUAAUGGAGCACAGCAACAAGAUGGCAGUUAAUGCCUUGUGACAUUAAAUAUGUGGUUUAAAAGGAGCACCUUUAAAUCUUUGCUGACUUUUAUUCUUGGACUUAACACAUUGCUGUUUCAAAAUUAUAGAACAACUACACAUGCGCACACAUGUGUAUAUAUGUGUGUAUAAAUACACAUAUAUAUAUAAUUAUUGUGUGUACUUUCCAAUUGCAUUUUUUCAAUCUCUGCAUAUGGACAAUUUGCAAUAAGCAUGGAUGGUGACAGUAAUAGAACAAAUCAUUUAUUAUUGAAGGAAAACAUAGUAAAGAGUAACAGUUUGGGAAAAUUCAUUAAAUGUAUUUUGAAAAGCCUAAAGCUAUAUAUUUAACAGUUUUAUAUGUUGUAUCUUUGUAGAAAACCUUAUUUAACACAAAUAAUGUGGUCACUAUGCCAGUCAUAUAAAGUGGAUUCAAGAAAAGCUAUCAUUUUGCUUUUUUUUCCAUUUGAUUGUUGAAUUAUAUUUUUUUACCCAUUGGAAUAUUUUGAAUUUAAAACAUGUCCAGUAAGAACACUGUAGAAAUGAAAAUCAACAAUAAUAGUCUUUAUACCCCAUUGAUAUUAAUAUAUUGAACUACUGUACUGUUUAAAGGCUUAUUUGUCCUAUUGUACUGUAUAAUAGCGUGGGGGACGUUACUCAUUGUUUCUUUUGACUUUUUGUUGUGUUGCACAGCACAGACCUCAGAGUGAUGAUACUUGACUGGAUAAAUGAAAAAAAUAGAAAAUUUACAUAAAGCUACUUUUUUAUUCUGAAAAUAUUUUAAGAAAGAAAUAAAUACAUGAAAAAAAUAUUAUUUUCUAAACUGAGAUCUUCAGUCUCAAGAAAGAAAAAAGGAACAUAAACAGUUGAAAAAUAAUCACAGUGGAUUUCGUAAGGUUAUUAUUUUAUGUUAAUACUUUCUGUGGCUUUCUUUAUUAUUUGUAUUCCACAAUAUACACUAUAAUGAAAUAAAAUAUCCAAUGAGUAGAAUCACUAUCACAACCAAGGUAAUUUAUUUUUUAGGGUAAUUUUAGGGCAUAUUUUUUCAAAUCAAUUAUGGCAUUUCCAAAUUGUAUAACACUGCAACUUUUGUAUUAAAUCUAAAAAGUAUUUUAGAUUUAAAAUGAAUAGGCAAGAACAUAUCUACUUAAACAAUAUUUUAACUGAAAUUAAUUAAAUGACAUAAUAAAUUAAGGAUUUGAGAUUCUAUGAAAGGGAUACAUUUAUAGCGUUAGUUGAAGUGCUAAUGACAAAAUGAAUUACUUUUCACUGGAAAGAAAACCUUGGAGAGCACUCAUAAAAUACAUUUACUGUAGGUUUAUACUGUUUCAUUAUAGUAAUACUUAUAGUGAUUGGGUUUACAUGCUUCAUAGACACAUUUCAUUGGUCUUCUCAAAUUCUAAUUUGGAGUUCUAUAACAUUGCAAACAAUAAAAGCUUUUAACUAAAGUGGUUUAUUAAAAUGUCACAGGACUCCAACAUAGUGUUCUCACAACUAAUACAUCUAUUAUUUUUAAUCAAUACAUGUAAAUCACUGCUUUUACUUAGAAUGUUAUAGAUAUUCUUUGGUUUGGACACAUUUCACCCUAUUUUUUUUACUUAAAGCAAACAAUGUGAUGAAAUUAGGAACUGGGUUUAGCUGAACAGAGUAGAACCUGACCUAUCUCUUUGUUUUAGAACCAGAUCCAGUUGCUCCCUAUACCCCCUACUGCCAGCUUCUCAUAGUAAAAUUACUCAUUUCAGCCCAAACCCCCUUAGCAGGAAUGGUGCACUUUCUAAGACAGCACAUGCUUUUCAGAUGACCAGAAUUAACUUCCUACACAUUAUGUUGUUACCACUGUUACCACCGUUAAGUGUCCCACUCAACUAUAUUUUCAACUUUUGCACACAUCAUUCCCAUUGUCAACUGGUGUAUUUCUAAAUUCACAAAAAAAAAGAAGAUGAAUCAAAAGAAAUGAGUCUACAAAAAAAGUAAUUACCUAUGGCUGACACUACAAAGUGUCCAUAACAGAAUUGCACUACACACAUAAGGAUGUUUUAAGUAGCUGGUUCUGAUCACUCAUAGGGUGAUCUUUAUGAUGAAAAUCUGGUCAGUUUCUCUGAGGUAAGAAUUUACCAGGGCUAAAUUCAAUUUUGUUUUCAUUGAAGUAUUUACUUUUUUUUCUUAAUAAACAUUUUGGUGUUGACUGGUGGUUGAAAAUGAUAUUUUCUCUAUGUGAAAAGUUGUUUGUGGAAACGGUAAGAGUGUAAAAGUUAGUACUUCUUUAUGUGGAGACCAAAGAUCGAUUUAGUCAUGCAGUGAACAAGAAAUGUCUAACUUAAAUUGAUUAUGUUUUUGUUAUGAGUCAGGAUACAGUUACAGCUUUCAUAUACUGUAUACAGGUAGAGACUUGCACACUGACAUACAUUUAUAUGUAUCUAAGAACCUAUAAUGGAAUAUCUUUGAAGCACAGUAUUAAAUGGAUAAUUUAA